GAUGAACGCUGGCGGCGUGCCUAAUACAUGCAAGUCGAGCGAACAGACGAGGAGCUUGCUCCUCUGACGUUAGCGGCGGACGGGUGAGUAACACGUGGAUAACCUACCUAUAAGACUGGGAUAACUUCGGGAAACCGGAGCUAAUACCGGAUAAUAUAUUGAACCGCAUGGUUCAAUAGUGAAAGACGGUUUUGCUGUCACUUAUAGAUGGAUCCGCGCCGCAUUAGCUAGUUGGUAAGGUAACGGCUUACCAAGGCGACGAUGCGUAGCCGACCUGAGAGGGUGAUCGGCCACACUGGAACUGAGACACGGUCCAGACUCCUACGGGAGGAAGCAGUAGGGAAUCUUCCGCAAUGGGCGAAAGCCUGACGGAGCAACGCCGCGUGAGUGAUGAAGGUCUUCGGAUCGUAAAACUCUGUUAUUAGGGAAGAACAAAUGUGUAAGUACCUAUGCACGUCUUGACGGUACCUAAUCAGAAAGCCACGGCUAACUACGUG
This 497-nucleotide ribosomal RNA is filed under the name uncultured bacterium. RNAcentral describes it as "partial 16S ribosomal RNA". It matches the Rfam family "Bacterial small subunit ribosomal RNA", at positions 28 to 507 of the family's 1533-position model. The record is from RNAcentral.